Long non-coding RNA from Notolabrus celidotus (New Zealand spotty), 1147 nucleotides. RefSeq lists it as uncharacterized. The record is from RefSeq and is a predicted model, not a curated record. NCBI's taxonomy places the organism in Eukaryota, Metazoa, Chordata, Actinopteri, Labriformes, Labridae. The transcript has 4 exons.
UUCAGACUGAGCGAAGUGAAAACAAAGAGGCAGCACACUGUGCGUCUCUGGUAACCACUAACAGGAAGAAGUGUCCAGACAAAGGACUCCACAGAAUCCAAGCCAAAAAAAGCAGCCAAUCAAGAACACAACAUGCCUCUAUAUGACAUGUCCUCCACACAGAACGAGUGAAUCUUGGCAUAACAAUCUCUCGCAGUGUCAAUCAAUGCUUUCUUUUUCCUCCAUCACAUUUUCAAAACGUGUUGAUCCCCAACAAAGAGCACGACGCCAGCUCCAGCUCCAGCUCCAGCGCAACAGUGUCGCUGUGUUUUGUUUUUUUUCAUGUUUGGUUUUUCUCCGAGCCUGAUGCAGUCUGUGAAUCCAGCACAUCACCAGAACCAUGUUUGCUUCCUUCCUAACAACAUUUCAGAUCUUGUUGUCCUUAGAGGUAAACAUUGCCCUGCUGCUGCUGUACUCACCACCUGGAUCAGAUCUGAGCGAACGCAGGCCUGGUGGAAGACUGCUUGCUGGAGAAAAGAGAUUGUUUUGUUUUUUGGAGUGAAGUUAUGAUUGUCGUCGUCCCAGGCUCUGGUCCAUGGGUGAUGCUGCCAGGUGGGAACUUAUUGUUGUGUCCUUUGGGGUGCUGACGGUUCUCAUUUUUCCCAACACGGGCUUUUGUUGUGUCUUUUGUGUGCGUAAUGGACUGGCCUCGUUACUUUGGUACGGAAACGUCACCACGUGGAGGGAGAUGGACCUGCGGAUUGACAGGCGGGCUGGCCAACGGGUUGGAGUGCUGCCUUCAGGCUCCCGUGGGAAAGAUGGAAACCAGGUUUAGAGUUGAAUUCUUCUUUUGUCUUCAUCAGACACCAGAACAGCGACUCUUCUGAGUUCAAGUUUUAAUCUGCCUGUGAACGCCUCAUCCAAGGUGUCUGCAUGCAAGUGUCAUCAAGUCUGCCUGUGAACGCCACAUCUCAGGUGUCUGCAUGCAAGUGUCAUCAAGGUGAGAAUUACUUAUUGAAGCAACCAAGAGAAUAAUAACACGCGUCAGAAAAGUGCAUCUGUGAAAGUUAUUGUUUCGUUAUUGCUGGAGAGAUUAUUUCCCAUGCGGCGUGAACGCGCCACAAAGGGAAGGAGGGAGCGCGCACACACCCGGAUGUGUAAAUAAAUA